GCGAACGGGUGAGUAACACGUGGGCAAUCUGCCCUGCACUCUCGGGACAAUUCCCUGGAAACGGGGUCUAAUACCGGAUACUGACCCGCUUGGGCAUCCAACCGGUUCGAAAGCUCCGGCGGUGCAGGAUGAGCCCGCGGCCUAUCAGCUUGUUGGUGAGGUAAUGGCUCACCAAGGCGACGACGGGUAGCCGGCCUGAGAGGGCGACCGGCCACACUGGGACUGAGACACGGCCCAGACUCCUACGGGAGGCAUCAGUGGGGAAUAUUGCACAAUGGGCGAAAGCCUGAUGCAGCGACGCCGCGUGAGGGAUGACGGCCUUCGGGUUGUCAACCUCU
RNAcentral lists this ribosomal RNA (338 nucleotides) under bacterium LFBA2A. RNAcentral describes it as "bacterial SSU rRNA". It matches the Rfam family "Bacterial small subunit ribosomal RNA", at positions 98 to 434 of the family's 1533-position model. The record is from RNAcentral.